GGGGGGGCGGGCGCUAUACAUGCAGUCGUACGCUUCUUUUUCCACCGGAGCUUGCUCCACCGGAAAAAGAAGAGUGGCGAACGGGUGAGUAACACGUGGGUAACCUGCCCAUCAGAAGGGGAUAACACUUGGAAACAGGUGCUAAUACCGUAUAACAAUCGAAACCGCAUGGUUUUGAUUUGAAAGGCGCUUUCGGGUGUCGCUGAUGGAUGGACCCGCGGUGCAUUAGCUAGUUGGUGAGGUAACGGCUCACCAAGGCCACGAUGCAUAGCCGACCUGAGAGGGUGAUCGGCCACAUUGGGACUGAGACACGGCCCAAACUCCUACGGGAGGCAGCAGUAGGGAAUCUUCGGCAAUGGACGAAAGUCUGACCGAGCAACGCCGCGUGAGUGAAGAAGGUUUUCGGAUCGUAAAACUCUGUUGUUAGAGAAGAACAAGGAUGAGAGUAACUGUUCAUCCCUUGACGGUAUCUAACCAGAAAGCCACGGCUAACUACGUGCCAGCAGCCGCGGUAAUACGUAGGUGGCAAGCGUUGUCCGGAUUUAUUGGGCGUAAAGCGAGCGCAGGCGGUUUCUUAAGUCUGAUGUGAAAGCCCCCGGCUCAACCGGGGAGGGUCAUUGGAAACUGGGAGACUUGAGUGCAGAAGAGGAGAGUGGAAUUCCAUGUGUAGCGGUGAAAUGCGUAGAUAUAUGGAGGAACACCAGUGGCGAAGGCGGCUCUCUGGUCUGUAACUGACGCUGAGGCUCGAAAGCGUGGGGAGCAAACAGGAUUAGAUACCCUGGUAGUCCACGCCGUAAACGAUGAGUGCUAAGUGUUGGAGGGUUUCCGCCCUUCAGUGCUGCAGCUAACGCAUUAAGCACUCCGCCUGGGGAGUACGACCGCAAGGUUGAAACUCAAAGGAAUUGACGGGGGCCCGCACAAGCGGUGGAGCAUGUGGUUUAAUUCGAAGCAACGCGAAGAACCCUUACCAGGUCUUGACAUCCUUUGAUCACUCUAGAGAAUAGAAGCUUUC
Molecule: ribosomal RNA, 1012 nt
Filed under: Enterococcus lactis
Lineage: Bacteria; Bacillati; Bacillota; Bacilli; Lactobacillales; Enterococcaceae
Description: bacterial SSU rRNA
Rfam family: Bacterial small subunit ribosomal RNA
Source: RNAcentral